CUACGGGAGGCAGCAGUGGGGAAUAUUGGACAAUGGGCGCAAGCCUGAUCCAGCAAUGCCGCGUGAGUGAAGAAGGCCUUAGGGUUGUAAAGCUCUUUCGGCGGGGACGAUGAUGACGGUACCCGCAGAAGAAGCCCCGGCUAACUCCGUGCCAGCAGCCGCGGUAAUACGGAGGGGGCUAGCGUUGUUCGGAAUUACUGGGCGUAAAGGGCGCGUAGGCGGUGCGAUCAGUCAGGCGUGAAAGGCCCGGGCUCAACCCGGGGACUGCGCUUGAUACUGUUGCGCUGUGAGUCCGGGAGAGGAUGGCGGAAUUCCCAGUGUAGAGGUGAAAUUCGUAGAUAUUGGGAAGAACACCGGUGGCGAAGGCGGCCAUCUGGACCGGCACUGACGCUGAGGCGCGAAAGCGUGGGGAGCAAACAGGAUUAGAUACCCGAGUAGUCC
RNAcentral lists this ribosomal RNA (441 nucleotides) under uncultured bacterium. RNAcentral describes it as "bacterial SSU rRNA". It matches the Rfam family "Bacterial small subunit ribosomal RNA", at positions 339 to 796 of the family's 1533-position model. The record is from RNAcentral.